GACGAACGCUGGCGGCGUGCCUAACACAUGCAAGUCGAGCGAGGAGAGUUCCUUUGGGAACAACCUAGCGGCGGACGGGUGAGUAACACGUGGGCAACCUGCCUUGUAGAGGGAAUAGCCUUCCGAAAGGAAGAUUAAUACCGCAUAACAUUACAGUUUCGCAUGAAACAGUAAUUAAAGGAGCAAUCCGCUACAAGAUGGGCCCGCGGCGCAUUAGCUAGUUGGUGAGGUAACGGCUCACCAAGGCGACGAUGCGUAGCCGACCUGAGAGGGUGAUCGGCCACAUUGGGACUGAGACACGGCCCAGACUCCUACGGGAGGCAGCAGUGGGGAAUAUUGCACAAUGGGGGAAACCCUGAUGCAGCAACGCCGCGUGAGUGAUGAAGGUUUUCGGAUCGUAAAGCUCUGUCUUCGGGGACGAUAAUGACGGUACCCGAGGAGGAAGCCACGGCUAACUACGUG
RNAcentral lists this ribosomal RNA (462 nucleotides) under uncultured bacterium. Its description in RNAcentral is "bacterial SSU rRNA". It matches the Rfam family "Bacterial small subunit ribosomal RNA", at positions 28 to 507 of the family's 1533-position model. The record is from RNAcentral.